CGCGGGGUAGAGUAAUUGGUUAACUUACCAGACUCAUGAUUUGGAGAUUGCAGGUUAGAAUCCGGUCCCCGCCU
This 74-nucleotide transfer RNA is filed under the name Stylosanthes macrocephala. RNAcentral describes it as "tRNA-Met". It matches the Rfam family "tRNA". Rfam says of the family: Transfer RNA (tRNA) molecules are approximately 80 nucleotides in length. Their secondary structure includes four short double-helical elements and three loops (D, anti-codon, and T loops). The record is from RNAcentral. Lineage: Eukaryota; Viridiplantae; Streptophyta; Magnoliopsida; Fabales; Fabaceae.